Molecule: ribosomal RNA, 491 nt
Filed under: uncultured bacterium
Lineage: Bacteria
Description: partial 16S ribosomal RNA
Rfam family: Bacterial small subunit ribosomal RNA
Source: RNAcentral
AGUGAACGCUGGCGGUAGGCCUAACACAUGCAAGUCGAACGGCAGCACAGUAAGAGCUUGCUCUUACGGGUGGCGAGUGGCGGACGGGUGAGGAAUACAUCGGAAUCUACUUUUUCGUGGGGGAUAACGUAGGGAAACUUACGCUAAUACCGCAUACGACCUACGGGUGAAAGCAGGGGAUCUUCGGACCUUGCGCGAUUGAAUGAGCCGAUGUCGGAUUAGCUAGUUGGCGGGGUAAAGGCCCACCAAGGCGACGAUCCGUAGCUGGUCUGAGAGGAUGAUCAGCCAAACUGGAACUGAGACACGGUCCAGACUCCUACGGGAGGCAGAAGUGGGGAAUAUUGGACAAUGGGCGCAAGCCUGAUCCAGCCAUACCGCGUGGGUGAAGAAGGCCUUCGGGUUGUAAAGCCCUUUUGUUGGGAAAGAAAAGCAGCAGGUUAAUACCCCGCUGUUCUGACGGUACCCAAAGAAUAAACACCGGCGAACUUCGU